This 3450-nucleotide long non-coding RNA is filed under the name Capra hircus (goat). RNAcentral describes it as "lncRNA (ENSCHIG00010015121.1)". The record is from RNAcentral. Lineage: Eukaryota; Metazoa; Chordata; Mammalia; Artiodactyla; Bovidae.
AUGUUAAUGUGUCUUGGCUUUUUGUUUGUUUCCAUUUCCUUGGUGUUCUCCAUCCUCGCAGAGGAAGCUGGUCUUCCUGUGUCUCCCAGGCUCACAGCACACUCUUCCACCAGGCCGAUCACACCGGAAAUCCGAGCUUUUUGUUUGGAAAGCCACGCGGCCAGGAGUUGCUCGUGGACAUGGAUCCCCUCCUCCACUCUCACGUGGGGCUCCUGCACCGAGGCCCCCGGGCCUGGAUGGCCUGCAGACCCCAGCCCUUCCUCAAUGAGCCUGCUCAAGGGCCACGUGGCCUUGACACGCCCACCCCAGGGCCACCUUCUCAUGCACCCCCUCCUGCCGUCCCGCACACUUGUCUGCAAUCGGCGGGGAGGAACAGCGCUUUUCCCCCAAGUCCACCUCAGAGCUGAGGUCCUACUGGCCUCCGAGCUGAUGCCCGGGAAAUCCUGUAGGACAGACGGUCAGGCGCUUAGGAUGGCAGGGGGGUGAGCCACAAGGGGAAGCAGCUUAGGGUCAGGACAGAUACUGUCAGGGCGGGGAAGGGAAUUUUGGGGGGAAGUCUGAACAGAUUCAUUUGACCCAUCUACUAGGCUAAUUUAUAGAAAAUGCACAAGAAGGGGGAAAAUUCCCUUUGAGCAAUGAGCGAGGUGAAAGAGAAGCAGGGGGUGUCCCUCAUCUCAUUACCAAAGAGGAAACCGAGAUGACUUCUUGAGUCGUUUAUUGAAAAACACCAUGAGGGCUCAGUGUAGGCAGGUUGGAAAGAGGCCCAUUUGCCUUCUCAGUGGAGACGUGGCUUAGGACUUUUUGAAGAAUAUUGCCUGUUCAAUUAGAAGAAUAUGAUAAGAGUCACCCAGUGGAGGUUGGAGAAUUCAUCUCCAUUCUCGAAACCUGGGUAGUGCCUUCCUAGGCAGCAAAUUUUAUGUCGCAUUCCAGCAUUCCUAGAACAUUUACUGCCGGAAGUUUCAACAAAACGUGCUUACUAAGCUUCAGGGUUUUUAGGAAUCCCAUCUGGGUCUACUUGUUUAUCCCUACGUGGAGACUGUUGGCGUAUCCGCCUAAAACACCUCACUGGAAGCCUGGUUCUAGAGUCUCUGCCCAGCUGGGGGGUCCAGGAAAGGCUCAGUGGUGCAGCUUCAUAGCCUGGGAAGACUGUGCCCUGAGACAAGCUAGAUGCGAGCAAAGACGGAUGCUGAGACGGUGAAAGGGCGGCACAUGGAGACCCCAGGGAAGGACAAGAAGAGGAGCGGUGCAGAGCUCAAAGAAGACACAGGAAUUCCCCGGUGGCCCAGUGGUUAGCGGCUGGCGCUGCUCUGGGCCCAGACUCGACCCCUGGUCAGGGAGCUAACAUCCUUCGAGUCACGUGGUACUGCCAAAAAAAUAAAAAAUAAAAGAAAAAAAUCAUUAUAAUGGGCAGUGGACAGAAAAGUGACGUCUCUGUUUUCCUCUGAGCCUACUAGACCCACCGCUACUGCUAACAGAUGAGGGCAGAGAGCUUUCUGUGGAAUCCACUCUUGAAAAGGAGAGAACCCUUAGGAAUCUUUCUACCAGACCUCCGUGUCUUCCAUUUUCAGGCUGACUCCAGCCAAGUGGAGAAAACUCACAUCUGGACAAAGGAAAUGUAUCUCCUCAAAUCGAAAAGCCUUAUGUCAAGAGAAUCCUUACUAUAGAGAAAGCUAUGGAGCCAAACACUGAAUUUGAUUCCAACCAAAAACUAGAUAAAAGGUUAGAAAUCAAUCUUAUUCACGCCAUCUCCUUCCUUCCUCACUGCUAACCCUCGGCCAGGCCCCUCUAAUAAUAANNNNNNNNNNNNNNNUGCCCGAAAGGAAAAUCAGAGAUUCCAUCAAGAAAAAGGCUUUUAAAGGAAGCCUGUGAUAUUGCAAUAUUAUUUGGACUCUCCCUGUAAAUAAUGAAUGAUUCCAAUUUCUCUUAGUAUGGGUUGAGGGUGGCAGAAUUAAAUCUAGCUGGGUUAGAAAUAAGUCAGAGUCCCCUAAUGUCAGCCAACGUUUAUGAUAGACGUGAGCUCGAUUUUUUUUCUCAUAAUUGUUAAAUGACGUCUCUUUUUCAAAGAGACAGAGCUGUUAUAAAUAAGCAAAUCACAGCUGUAUUCAGCUCAUGACAUCCUGGUUCUGUGCAAGCCCGUUUGGCUGGCAGUCGCAGAACUCCGAUCAGGGUGGCCGUGUGAGAGAGUGGAAGCGUGAGAUGCUUUAUGUCAGAGUUCUGGGUUUGAGUCCUGGUUCCGCCAUCAGGCGACCGGAUGUCUUUGGAAAAGUAACCUCUUCGUGAUCGUCAGUCUGGUAGAGGUGACGAGCGUCACGACUUAUCUGUGCGUCGUUUGGAGGAUCAAACCCAGUUGACGGACGUGGAGGAAUUCUACCCGCUGCAGGGUGCCCCACGAAUAUUCCUUUUCCUUUAGAACACCUUAUUUGUUAUUAUUCUUUAUUUUUGGCUGUGCUGGUCUUGGCUGCCGUGCGAGCGUUCCCUGACUGCUGACUGGGGGCUACUCUCCAGUUGCCCGCGGGCUUCUCGUGGUGGCCGCGCUUGCAGCCGAGCUCGGGCUCCAGGGUGCCGGGGGCUCAGUUUCUCCGAGGCAUGUGGGGUCUCCCCAGACCAGGGAUUGAACCCGUUUCCCCUGCAGAGGCAGGUGGAUUCUUAACCACCACGGGAGCACCAGGGAAGCCCACAUUCACUUUUAACAGGGAUUUUCUAUUAAUGGGAAAGAGCCAUGGUUUCAUCCGCAAUAUACAUUUGCUCUUAAUAACUCGUUAAGUGCCCCCCUGCAUUCCAGCCAGCAAGCCAUAGACAGAGACCAGGGGAUUCCACUGUCACUUCCCAGCAUCACAUCGCAGUGAUGGGAGCUUUAUUCCUUAUCCAACAUCACAUGAUAAUUUUUGGCCUUUAAAAAUAAAGAGAAAAAAGCCUAAGACCCAGAAAGAUUAAGAAUUAAGUUAAUUUUUAAAGUAACAAAUCUUUCUGUAUAUACUUGUCUCCUUCAUAUGGUGCCGGUAAUUUUUAAAAUUAGAUUUUCCUCUGGGCGUUUCAUACUAAAAAUGAUGAANNNNNNNNNNNNNNNNNNNNNNNNNNNNNNNNNNNNNNNNNNNNNNNNNNNNNNNNNNNNNNNNNNNNNNNNNNNNNNNNNNNNNNNNNNNNNNNNNNNAGAUUUUCCUCUGGGCGUUUCAUACUAAAAAUGAUGAAGUUCCUUGUCCCUUGUAAUUGCAUUUCUUUUGAUUUUCUUUUAUUAUGACUUGCAUAUCACUGACACUUUCCCCCUGGAAUGUUAAAAGUAUACAUCAUCCAGCUAAGAGGAAAAAAUACUGUCUUCAUAAAAAUGGAAAAGAGAAAGUAGAGGCUCCUCUCGGUUCCAAACAAGGCAAAGUUCUUGCUCUUCGCACGUGCCAAGGCUGAUGUCAUGGAACCAAACCAGUUUUGAGUUAUCUGCAAUGAAAAAAAAAAAAG